This 344-nucleotide ribosomal RNA is filed under the name uncultured bacterium. RNAcentral describes it as "bacterial SSU rRNA". It matches the Rfam family "Bacterial small subunit ribosomal RNA", at positions 8 to 349 of the family's 1533-position model. The record is from RNAcentral.
AGAGUUUGAUCAUGGCUCAGGAUGAACGCUAGCUACAGGCUUAACACAUGCAAGUCGAGGGGCAGCAUGUUGGUUGCUUGCAACCAAUGAUGGCGACCGGCGCACGGGUGAGUAACGCGUAUCCAACCUACCCUUGUCCAUCGGAUAACCCGUCGAGAGGCGGCCUAACACGAUAUGCGGUUCUCAGCAGGCAUCUAACGAGAACGAAAUGUGAAGGAGAAGGAUGGGGAUGCGUCUGAUUAGCUUGUUGGCGGGGUAACGCCACAAGGCGACGAUCAGUAGGGGUCUGAGAGGAAGGUCCCCCANAUUGGAACUGAGACACGGUCCAAACUCCUACGGGAGCA